RNAcentral lists this ribosomal RNA (305 nucleotides) under uncultured bacterium. RNAcentral's name for it is "bacterial SSU rRNA". It matches the Rfam family "Bacterial small subunit ribosomal RNA", at positions 338 to 640 of the family's 1533-position model. The record is from RNAcentral.
CCUACGGGGGGCAGCAGUGAGGAAUAUUGGUCAAUGGGCGGAAGCCUGAACCAGCCAAGUCGCGUGGGGGAAUAAGGCCCUACGGGUCGUAAACCUCUUUUGCCGGGGAGCAAGGGCCGGGACGCGUCCCGGCCCGGAGAGUACCCGGAGAAAAAGCAUCGGCUAACUCCGUGCCAGCAGCCGCGGUAAUACGGAGGAUGCGAGCGUUAUCCGGAUUUAUUGGGUUUAAAGGGUGCGUAGGCGGGCUUUUAAGUCAGCGGGAAAAAUUCGGGGCUCAACCCCGUCCGGCCGUUGAAACUGGGGGC